This is a long non-coding RNA of Polypterus senegalus (gray bichir), 1240 nucleotides long. RefSeq lists it as uncharacterized. The record is from RefSeq and is a predicted model, not a curated record. Lineage: Eukaryota; Metazoa; Chordata; Cladistia; Polypteriformes; Polypteridae. The transcript is spliced from 6 exons.
UGCUGCUAUGUGUGUCUGUGUGGCGAAUGCAUGUGGUGAAAGUGUGUGAGGAUAUGUGCAUGAGAGAACCCUCUGAUUAAAAAACAACCAAGGCCUGCCAAACCUGUCAAUCUGUCACCAAGCCUCAGGGACACGCGGAGCUCUCAUAUUCCCGAGGCCAAAUCAGCCUGGAGCUUACCCAUGUUACGAGCCUAGACAGCAAGAUAGUUAUCUGGGAGAAAUUAGAGGAGUGAGCCUUGCCCAUUCACCCUCUGUCCUACCAGACUGUUUGGGAAGUCAGAAUCUGGGAGCUGAAAAAUCUGUGCUCCUUCUGAUUCUCUUUUCAUAAAUGUAUAAUUAAUAAAUGAAUGGGAAGUCAAAAUGUACAUUUACCCUGAAGGACAAUAUACAUCUUUUUCUAUUUUUUAUUUGUUUUCCUUCACAAAAGAUGCAGUUGGAUGCAAUGUGAAUUGGGCAGUCAAGAUGGUAUUCUGCUUAUUGAAGCCAUUAUUUUCCAGAGACCAUGCUGGUGGGUCUGACAUGGAGGGAAACCAAGCGUCAAAGACUAGAAGUCAAAGGUAGAAGAAAACAAUCCAACCUGAGAGCUUUGCUUCAGUAUAACCAAGAGAGAGAUUAUCUUCAGGAAUUUAUUGUUUAUCCAUUCUCUAAUGUGAGUAAAGCCCUAUUUGGACAGGAUAAGUUUUACACCAGGAGAUGGGUAAACUGAACAACUCCAAUCAAACAUGUUUCUUGAUUAGGCUCUUCAAGUGGAAUCUCUUCUUCCAUAGUUGGUAUGGCUUACAAAAAAAUGAAGACUUUUUGGGUAGAGUCUCCUGUGAAAACUGAGAACAUCCAAGCUGUCUUUUCCUAAAGAAAUCUGGUCUUUGCUCUCCAGUACUACAAGCGAGUGCUUACUGUUAACCAGACAAAUGAUGCUCAUUCAUCAUGUUAAAAGAAAAGGUAAAUGAAAAAAGAAGUAGAAUUAGACGGGAAUUUCAAAGUAGCUGUCGAUUGUCUGACUGACUGCAAUGAAGACCUGAAGCCACUGCAGUGUUUCUAGGUAACAGUUCACUAAGUGUUGAUUUGAAAUGUUGCUCAAUAAAGUCUGCCAUUUUGACUGAUAAAGAAGCAGGAAAAAAACAAAGAAGGCAAUCAGCAAACAAAAAGCACAAAAAGAUGCCCUUCCUGAAAAUUGAUUUACAUUCAGAUUACUUUACAUGUUAAAUCACGGCAUUACCUGUGAAUAAAAUGAUGUAUACUG